This 89-nucleotide non-coding RNA is filed under the name Gordonia rhizosphera. Its description in RNAcentral is "Fluoride sequence". It matches the Rfam family "Fluoride riboswitch aptamer (crcB RNA motif)". The record is from RNAcentral. Lineage: Bacteria; Bacillati; Actinomycetota; Actinomycetes; Mycobacteriales; Gordoniaceae.
AAGGCCCGCGGUGAUGGAUCUCGCCGGGGUGAGCGUCACCGACGUGGUCGCCCGAACCGCCGACAUCGGCUGAUAGUUCCUGUUCCUGG